UUUUUGCGUUAGCGAUUGCAGUGGAAAGCCCACAGCGACGUAGGAGCGAGGACUUGUAACGGAAAGCGCGACCCCCG
This 77-nucleotide small RNA is filed under the name Mariniflexile fucanivorans. RNAcentral's name for it is "Flavo-1 RNA". Lineage: Bacteria; Pseudomonadati; Bacteroidota; Flavobacteriia; Flavobacteriales; Flavobacteriaceae. The record is from RNAcentral.